AGACAUGGGGUGAGAGAGAAUUG
Molecule: non-coding RNA, 23 nt
Filed under: Cricetulus griseus (Chinese hamster)
Lineage: Eukaryota; Metazoa; Chordata; Mammalia; Rodentia; Cricetidae
Source: RNAcentral